UGCGGGCAUCUAAGUGUGACGAAAGGUUUGGCGGACAUGGAUGGGGAUGCGUCCGAUUAGCUAGUUGGCGGGGUAACGGCCACCAAGGCGACGAUCGGUAGGGGUUCUGAGAGGAAGGUCCCCCACAUUGGAACUGAGACACGGUCCAAACUCCUACGGGAGGCAGCAGUGAGGAAUAUUGGUCAAUGGACGUAAGUCUGAACCAGCCAAGUAGCGUGCAGGAUGACGGCCCUAUGGGUUGUAAACUGCUUUUAUGCGGGGAUAAAGUGUGGGACCGUGUCCCAUAUUGCAGGUACUGCAUGAAUAAGGACCGGCUAAUUCCGUG
This 325-nucleotide ribosomal RNA is filed under the name uncultured bacterium. Its description in RNAcentral is "bacterial SSU rRNA". It matches the Rfam family "Bacterial small subunit ribosomal RNA", at positions 184 to 507 of the family's 1533-position model. The record is from RNAcentral.